UACGUAGGGGGCAAGCGUUGUCCGGAAUUAUUGGGCGUAAAGCGCGCGCAGGCGGUUUCUUAAGUCUGGUGUGAAAGCCCGCAGCUCAACUGCGGAGGGCCACUGGAAACUGGGAAGCUUGAGUGUAGGAGAGGAGAGCGGAAUUCCACGUGUAGCGGUGAAAUGCGUAGAUAUGUGGAGGAACACCCGUGGCGAAAGCGGCUCUCUGGCCUAUAACUGACGCUGAGGCGCGAAAGCGUGGGGAGCGAACAGG
This 253-nucleotide ribosomal RNA is filed under the name uncultured bacterium. RNAcentral describes it as "partial 16S ribosomal RNA". It matches the Rfam family "Bacterial small subunit ribosomal RNA", at positions 524 to 776 of the family's 1533-position model. The record is from RNAcentral.